GGCGCAACUGCAUGGCCUCCACGACCUUCUGCACCACCUGCUCCCGCUGCUCACUCACCUUGUGCAGUGCCCGGCUCCGCUUGGAGUCAUUGUCCUGCCACCCACAACACAGGGAACCAGGUUUGUAGCAAUUGGACGUCUGACAUCAUGAAUGCCAGUGAAAACAAGAAAUGACAGGGAAAAGUGAAUCCUUAACGAAUGUGCAAGGCAACAGCAAGCUCAACUGGGCCCAAAGCAACAAACUGAAAUCAAAAAAGGCAAGA
Dermochelys coriacea (leatherback sea turtle) is the source of this 263-nucleotide long non-coding RNA. RefSeq lists it as uncharacterized. NCBI's taxonomy places the organism in Eukaryota, Metazoa, Chordata, Testudines, Dermochelyidae. The transcript has 3 exons. The record is from RefSeq and is a predicted model, not a curated record.